GACGAACGCUGGCGGCGUGCUUAACACAUGCAAGUCGAACGGAAAGGCCCUGCCUGCAGGGUACUCGAGUGGCGAACGGGUGAGUAACACGUGGGUGAUCUGCCCUGCACUUCGGGAUAAGCCUGGGAAACUGGGUCUAAUACCGGAUAGGAGCCAUUUUUAGUGUGAUGGUUGGAAAGUUUUUUCGGUGUAGGAUGAGCUCGCUGCCUAUCUGCUUGUUGGUGGGGUAAUGGCCUACCAAGGCGGCGACGGGUAGCCGGCCUGCGAGGGUGGACGGCCACAAUGGGACUUAGAUACGGCCCAGACUCCUACGGGAGGGAGCAGGGGGGAAUAUUGCACAAUGGGCGCAAGCCUGAUGCAGCGACGCCGCGGGGGGGAUGACGGCCUUCGGGUUGUAAACUCCUUUCGCUAGGGACGAAGCUUUUUGUGACGGUACCUAGAUAAGAAGCACCGGCUAACUACGUG
This 465-nucleotide ribosomal RNA is filed under the name uncultured bacterium. RNAcentral's name for it is "partial 16S ribosomal RNA". It matches the Rfam family "Bacterial small subunit ribosomal RNA", at positions 28 to 507 of the family's 1533-position model. The record is from RNAcentral.